UGGCUCAGAUUGAACGCUGGCGGCAGGCCUAACACAUGCAAGUCGAACGGUAACAGGAAGCAGCUUGCUGUUUCGCUGACGAGUGGCGGACGGGUGAGUAAUGUCUGGGAAACUGCCUGAUGGAGGGGGAUAACUACUGGAAACGGUAGCUAAUACCGCAUAACGUCGCAAGACCAAAGAGGGGGACCUUCGGGCCUCUUGCCAUCGGAUGUGCCCAGAUGGGAUUAGCUAGUAGGUGGGGUAACGGCUCACCUAGGCGACGAUCCCUAGCUGGUCUGAGAGGAUGACCAGCCACACUGGAACUGAGACACGGUCCAGACUCCUACGGGAGGCAGCAGUGGGGAAUAUUGCACAAUGGGCGCAAGCCUGAUGCAGCCAUGCCGCGUGUAUGAAGAAGGCCUUCGGGUUGUAAAGUACUUUCAGCGGGGAGGAAGGGAGUAAAGUUAAUACCUUUGCUCAUUGACGUUACCCGCAGAAGAAGCACCGGCUAACUCCGUGCCAGCAGCCGCGGUAAUACGGAGGGUGCAAGCGUUAAUCGGAAUUACUGGGCGUAAAGCGCACGCAGGCGGUUUGUUAAGUCAGAUGUGAAAUCCCCGGGCUCAACCUGGGAACUGCAUCUGAUACUGGCAAGCUUGAGUCUCGUAGAGGGGGGUAGAAUUCCAGGUGUAGCGGUGAAAUGCGUAGAGAUCUGGAGGAAUACCGGUGGCGAAGGCGGCCCCCUGGACGAAGACUGACGCUCAGGUGCGAAAGCGUGGGGAGCAAACAGGAUU
RNAcentral lists this ribosomal RNA (770 nucleotides) under Shigella flexneri. RNAcentral describes it as "bacterial SSU rRNA". It matches the Rfam family "Bacterial small subunit ribosomal RNA", at positions 20 to 779 of the family's 1533-position model. Lineage: Bacteria; Pseudomonadati; Pseudomonadota; Gammaproteobacteria; Enterobacterales; Enterobacteriaceae. The record is from RNAcentral.